UAAAUUGUGGACUAAUAGGGAAGUCGGCCUGAAUUUGAGUUAGGAUCAUGUGAGUUCGAAUCUCACCAAUUUAA
This is a transfer RNA of Sugiyamaella lignohabitans, 74 nucleotides long. It matches the Rfam family "tRNA". From Rfam's summary of the family: Transfer RNA (tRNA) molecules are approximately 80 nucleotides in length. Their secondary structure includes four short double-helical elements and three loops (D, anti-codon, and T loops). The record is from Rfam. NCBI's taxonomy places the organism in Eukaryota, Fungi, Ascomycota, Dipodascomycetes, Dipodascales, Trichomonascaceae.